AGUGUGUGUGUUAGUGGAAGCGUCUGGAAAGGCGCGCGAUACAGGGUGACAGCCCCGUACACAAAAAUACACAUACUGUGAGCUCGAUGAGUAGGGCGGGACACGUGGUAUCCUGUCUGAAUAUGGGGGGACCAUCCUCCAAGGCUAAAUACUCCUGACUGACCGAUAGUGAACCAGUACCGUGAGGGAAAGGCGAAAAGAACCCCGGCGAGGGGAGUGAAAAAGAACCUGAAACCGUGUACGUACAAGCAGUGGGAGCACGCUUAGGCGUGUGACUGCGUACCUUUUGUAUAAUGGGUCAGCGACUUAUAUUCUGUAGCAAGGUUAACCGAAUAGGGGAGCCGAAGGGAAACCGAGUCUUAACUGGGCGUUAAGUUGCAGGGUAUAGACCCGAAACCCGGUGAUCUAGCCAUGGGCAGGUUGAAGGUUGGGUAACACUAACUGGAGGACCGAACCGACUAAUGUUGAAAAAUUAGCGGAUGACUUGUGGCUGGGGGUGAAAGGCCAAUCAAACCGGGAGAUAGCUGGUUCUCCCCGAAAGCUAUUUAGGUAGCGCCUCGUGAAUUCAUCUCCGGGGGUAGAGCACUGUUUCGGCAAGGGGGUCAUCCCGACUUACCAACCCGAUGCAAACUGCGAAUACCGGAGAAUGUUAUCACGGGAGACACACGGCGGGUGCUAACGUCCGUCGUGAAGAGGGAAACAACCCAGACCGCCAGCUAAGGUCCCAAAGUCAUGGUUAAGUGGGAAACGAUGUGGGAAGGCCCAGACAGCCAGGAUGUUGGCUUAGAAGCAGCCAUCAUUUAAAGAAAGCGUAAUAGCUCACUGGUCGAGUCGGCCUGCGCGGAAGAUGUAACGGGGCUAAACCAUGCACCGAAGCUGCGGCAGCGACGCUUAUGCGUUGUUGGGUAGGGGAGCGUUCUGUAAGCCUGCGAAGGUGUGCUGUGAGGCAUGCUGGAGGUAUCAGAAGUGCGAAUGCUGACAUAAGUAACGAUAAAGCGGGUGAAAAGCCCGCUCGCCGGAAGACCAAGGGUUCCUGUCCAACGUUAAUCGGGGCAGGGUGAGUCGACCCCUAAGGCGAGGCCGAAAGGCGUAGUCGAUGGGAAACAGGUUAAUAUUCCUGUACUUGGUGUUACUGCGAAGGGGGGACGGAGAAGGCUAUGUUGGCCGGGCGACGGUUGUCCCGGUUUAAGCGUGUAGGCUGGUUUUCCAGGCAAAUCCGGAAAAUCAAGGCUGAGGCGUGAUGACGAGGCACUACGGUGCUGAAGCAACAAAUGCCAUGCUUCCAGGAAAAGCCUCUAAGCAUCAGGUAACAUCAAAUCGUACCCCAAACCGACACAGGUGGUCAGGUAGAGAAUACCAAGGCGCUUGAGAGAACUCGGGUGAAGGAACUAGGCAAAAUGGUGCCGUAACUUCGGGAGAAGGCACGCUGAUAUGUAGGUGAAGCGACUUGCUCGUGGAGCUGAAAUCAGUCGAAGAUACCAGCUGGCUGCAACUGUUUAUUAAAAACACAGCACUGUGCAAACACGAAAGUGGACGUAUACGGUGUGACGCCUGCCCGGUGCCGGAAGGUUAAUUGAUGGGGUCAGCGCAAGCGAAGCUCUUGAUCGAAGCCCCGGUAAACGGCGGCCGUAACUAUAACGGUCCUAAGGUAGCGAAAUUCCUUGUCGGGUAAGUUCCGACCUGCACGAAUGGCGUAAUGAUGGCCAGGCUGUCUCCACCCGAGACUCAGUGAAAUUGAACUCGCUGUGAAGAUGCAGUGUACCCGCGGCAAGACGGAAAGACCCCGUGAACCUUUACUAUAGCUUGACACUGAACAUUGAGCCUUGAUGUGUAGGAUAGGUGGGAGGCUUUGAAGUGUGGACGCCAGUCUGCAUGGAGCCGACCUUGAAAUACCACCCUUUAAUGUUUGAUGUUCUAACGUUGACCCGUAAUCCGGGUUGCGGACAGUGUCUGGUGGGUAGUUUGACUGGGGCGGUCUCCUCCUAAAGAGUAACGGAGGAGCACGAAGGUUGGCUAAUCCUGGUCGGACAUCAGGAGGUUAGUGCAAUGGCAUAAGCCAGCUUGACUGCGAGCGUGACGGCGCGAGCAGGUGCGAAAGCAGGUCAUAGUGAUCCGGUGGUUCUGAAUGGAAGGGCCAUCGCUCAACGGAUAAAAGGUACUCCGGGGAUAACAGGCUGAUACCGCCCAAGAGUUCAUAUCGACGGCGGUGUUUGGCACCUCGAUGUCGGCUCAUCACAUCCUGGGGCUGAAGUAGGUCCCAAGGGUAUGGCUGUUCGCCAUUUAAAGUGGUACGCGAGCUGGGUUUAGAACGUCGUGAGACAGUUCGGUCCCUAUCUGCCGUGGGCGCUGGAGAACUGAGGGGGGCUGCUCCUAGUACGAGAGGACCGGAGUGGACGCAUCACUGGUGUUCGGGUUGUCAUGCCAAUGGCACUGCCCGGUAGCUAAAUGCGGAAGAGAUAAGUGCUGAAAGCAUCUAAGCACGAAACUUGCCCCGAGAUGAGUUCUCCCUGACUCCUUGAGAGUCCUGAAGGAACGUUGAAGACGACGACGUUGAU
Molecule: ribosomal RNA, 2555 nt
Filed under: Escherichia coli
Lineage: Bacteria; Pseudomonadati; Pseudomonadota; Gammaproteobacteria; Enterobacterales; Enterobacteriaceae
Description: partial 23S ribosomal RNA
Rfam family: Bacterial large subunit ribosomal RNA
Source: RNAcentral